Molecule: ribosomal RNA, 253 nt
Filed under: uncultured bacterium
Lineage: Bacteria
Description: partial 16S ribosomal RNA
Rfam family: Bacterial small subunit ribosomal RNA
Source: RNAcentral
UACGAAGGGGGCUAGCGUUGCUCGGAAUCACUGGGCGUAAAGCGCACGUAGGCGGCUUCUUAAGUCAGGGGUGAAAUCCUGGAGCUCAACUCCAGAACUGCCUUUGAUACUGAGGAUCUUGAGUCCGGGAGAGGUGAGUGGAACUGCGAGUGUAGAGGUGAAAUUCGUAGAUAUUCGCAAGAACACCAGUGGCGAAGGCGGCUCACUGGCCCGGUACUGACGCUGAGGCACGAAAGCGUGGGGAGCAAACAGG